This is a non-coding RNA of Elaeis guineensis (African oil palm), 1413 nucleotides long. The record is from RefSeq and is a predicted model, not a curated record. NCBI's taxonomy places the organism in Eukaryota, Viridiplantae, Streptophyta, Magnoliopsida, Arecales, Arecaceae.
GACCUCCAAAGUUGAACACAACCGUAGAAGGAAGGCGCCCGCGCCCGCUCCCGGUCGAUGGCUCUGAGCCGUCUCCAGCUCCUAAAGCCUCCACCUCCCUCGCUAUAUCAUUCCCCACCAUCUCCUCUCCUCCUCUCCUUUCCCUUCCCAAGAGUUGCUCCUCCGCCCCGUCGUCUCGUCUGCUCCAAAUCGGAUUCGGCCGCUCCAGAAAAUGAAGCAGGAUUGGGGCUCGGGGGAGAGCUGUCCGUGGGCGAUCUUCUUCGUUAUCUCAACGAAUUUUGGACUCAGUUCCUCUCCACCGGUACUAGGAAUUCGAUCUUUAUUUGUUUAGGAUUUAUUGAAAACAAUCUAUCAAGACCAAGUCGAAUGAACUGGUUAAGAAUCUCUAAAAGAUUCUGAGAUUUUAACGAGAAACAGAGGGGGCACGAUUCUUCGACGGUGUGUUUUUUGCAUUUCAGCUGUGGCGAAAUGGCAACCGAUUGCGGCGGGGCGCUCGGAACAUGUCCUCUUUGAUUGCCUUUGUAGUCAGAGAAAAAUGUAACAUUGGCAGCAUGUUUCAAGGAAUUGCUGCUCAGACAGAUAGACCAUGCUGGAAACAGAAGCCAAGGUCUGCAUCCUCCAGGUCUGGAUUUCUGAUGGUAAAUGUGCAGACAUAUGGAGGAGGCUUAUGGCACAAAUGGUUCGGUAGAGAUCAAAAAUUAGCUCAAAGAGUUGUCCUAAAACUGGCAAUGGUUCUAAUGCAUAAGCUUGUUAAAGUGAGGAGAGCUUUCUCGCAUGUACCGAUGUUGGCCAUACAUCUUGAAAGUCAACACUGAAAUGUUCAGACCAGACUUUGAGUCACCUUGUUCCACUACCUGCAACCAAACUUGAGGAGGCACAAGUGAAAUCUGAAGACAAAAGGGGUUGGUUCGUCAUACAUCUUGUAGCUUGUGGCAUUCCUCAGCUCUCCAUGCACAGCCUUUCCUGCCAUGCAGAUAUGGAUCAAGUGGGUAGCAUAAUUAUGUGGCAUGCGUCUGAGUAGCUCAUUACUCUACUGCUCUGCGGUGCCAUCGGUUCUUCUGAAUAGUAAUGGCAAAAGUGAUCAAACUACACAGAUUUUUAGCCCAUCACAAAAGCAUCCAAAAAAUCCUCAGAGCACACUUAAACUACUUCAAGGCUUGUUUGCACCAGGAGUGUUGUCGUUUGACGGGGUGGCGUUGAGGUCCGGGAUGGGCCUGGGGUUGGGAUUGGAGUUGGAGUUGGAGUUGCCGUUGGAUUUGGCCAGUUUCUGCUUCAGCUCAGACAAGAGGGCCUGGUUCUCCUGGUUGAGAAGCUGUGCUUUCUUCCGCAGCCUUUCAUUCUCUUUCAUUAUGUAACAGUUCUGCAAGUAGAGCUCGGAAUUGAUCCUCUCCAUCACUUCUAGACAGGAACAGU